This 254-nucleotide ribosomal RNA is filed under the name uncultured bacterium. RNAcentral's name for it is "partial 16S ribosomal RNA". It matches the Rfam family "Bacterial small subunit ribosomal RNA", at positions 526 to 779 of the family's 1533-position model. The record is from RNAcentral.
CGGAGGGGGCUAGCGUUGUUCGGAAUUACUGGGCGUAAAGCGCACGUAGGCGGCUUGGUAAGUUAGAGGUGAAAGCCCGGGGCUCAACUCCGGAACUGCCUUUAAGACUGCUUCGCUUGAAUCAUGGAGAGGUCAGUGGAAUUCCGAGUGUAGAGGUGAAAUUCGUAGAUAUUCGGAAGAACACCAGUGGCGAAGGCGACUGACUGGACAUGUAUUGACGCUGAGGUGCGAAAGCGUGGGGAGCAAACAGGAUU